Molecule: ribosomal RNA, 490 nt
Filed under: uncultured bacterium
Lineage: Bacteria
Description: partial 16S ribosomal RNA
Rfam family: Bacterial small subunit ribosomal RNA
Source: RNAcentral
AUUGAACGCUGGCGGCAGGCCUAACACAUGCAAGUCGAACGGUAACAGGAAGAAGCUUGCUUCUUUGCUGACGAGUGGCGGACGGGUGAGUAAUGUCUGGGAAACUGCCUGAUGGAGGGGGAUAACUACUGGAAACGGUAGCUAAUACCGCAUAACGUCGCAAGACCAAAGAGGUGGACCUUCGGGCCUCUUGCCAUCGGAUGUGCCCAGAUGGGAUUAGCUAGUAGGUGGGGUAACGGCUCACCUAGGCGACGAUCCCUAGCUGGUCUGAGAGGAUGACCAGCCACACUGGAACUGAGACACGGUCCAGACUCCUACGGGAGGCAGCAGUGGGGAAUAUUGCACAAUGGGCGCAAGCCUGAUGCAGCCAUGCCGCGUGUAUGAAGAAGGCCUUCGGGUUGUAAAGUACUUUAAGCGGGGAGGAAGGGAGUAAAGUUAAUACCUUUGCUCAUUGGCGUUACCAGCAGAAGAAGCACCGGCUAACUCCGUG